UACGUAGGUGGCAAGCGAUACUCGGAAUCACUAGGCGUAAAGCGCAGGUAGGCGGUUUGGUAAGUCUUUUGUGAAAGCUCCCGGCUCAACUGGGAGAGGUCAAGGGAAACUACCGGACUAGAGUGUGGUAGGGGAUACUGGAAUUCCUGGUGUAGCGGUGAAAUGCGCAGAUAUCAGGAGGAACACCGAUGGCGAAGGCAGGUCUCUGGGCCACUACUGACGCUGAGAAGCGAAAGCAUGGGGAGCGAACAGG
Molecule: ribosomal RNA, 253 nt
Filed under: uncultured bacterium
Lineage: Bacteria
Description: partial 16S ribosomal RNA
Rfam family: Bacterial small subunit ribosomal RNA
Source: RNAcentral